Non-coding RNA from Pelobates cultripes (western spadefoot toad), 565 nucleotides. Lineage: Eukaryota; Metazoa; Chordata; Amphibia; Anura; Pelobatidae. The record is from the annotation of a GenBank genome assembly.
GUCUUUCUUAAAGUCAUUCUUUGAAGGAGGGAUCUACCAUUGCCAUCUACUUUAGAUAAGGCACUUUUGGGCUUGUAACCCCAGGCAGGCCCAGUAUUCCAUCCUGCAGCCCCCCAAUGGUCACAGUUGUGUCCCCAUUGCUUGUCAACUACAAAACACAAGUUGUUGGGGAAAAUAGCAACCUAGCCUAGGUGCAGUCCCAAAUAGAAUCUCAUAUGGGGACAGUGAGGUAGUAUUUUUGUACAAGAGCAUUCAUUAGAUCCUUUGAUAAAUGUGCAGGUCCGUGUGCCCAUUGUACGACUGCUGGGUACAAAUUCUUAGGGAGGCAGAACUUGAGGUUGUUGGAGUACACUCCAUCCUUCAGAACUGCCCCUUUCUGUUUUCAUCUUUGUAUUUCUUCAGGAGUAACUGCAGCCUGUUGUUCCCGUAGGAUUUUUAGAUCAGUUGGAAGUGUCUGCAAGGUAAAUGUGGGAGUUUCUUCGUUUCCGGACACACUUCUGUCCACUUCCUGUAGUUCUCUUGCAGCUUGUUUUGCAGCUUGAUCAGCCAGAUGGUUGCCCCUUGC